RNAcentral lists this long non-coding RNA (1056 nucleotides) under Olea europaea (common olive). RNAcentral describes it as "long non-coding RNA (OEUR_LNC004632)". Lineage: Eukaryota; Viridiplantae; Streptophyta; Magnoliopsida; Lamiales; Oleaceae. The record is from RNAcentral.
CCCUAUUCUCAAUAUCAUAACCCCCAAUUCAAACCCUUUAAUUCCGGCCACAAUUUUCUCCAGGAUAGUGAUGCGGGCUGGUACAAAAUGGACGCCACCGGCCUGAGAAUCGCCGCCAUCUCUUCCCUUCACUGGUCCGGAUAAUAUCCUUGAUUAUGAUUUCCACCUCCAGGCUGCGGAUAAUUCUGCCUCUGACGAAAGUUUUGGGGAGAACCCUGACUCUAAAACCCACCUUGUCGAGGAUAAUUUUGGCUCAAAUUAGGGUUUUGGUUUUGUGGGUACCAAUUAUUUUGGUUGUUAUUAUUCCACUGGUUAACGUUACCACUUGCUGGUCGAGGAUGGGGAAAAUUAGGGGUCGGGUUAGGAACUCCAGGUGGAAAUCAUAAUCAGAUUUUUACCGUUAUAUGCUUGAGACAAGUAGAACUUCGUGGACUUGUGGAAAGUGCAAGGAAUCAGUAACUGUAGCUUUGAUUCAAUUGUACAGGCAAUCGAAGGUGAGUAGAAGCAGAUGGAAGAGAGCUCCCACGGUUAUAAGGAGCUUUCAAUUGUACAGUAGGAGAUAUGAAAAUGCUUAUAUGUAUUUUUAUCUUGAUCAAUGGAGUAGGGGUUGAAAAUGCGUAUAUGUAGUUGGUUGUUGUAAUUUGGUUCUUUGAACUUUGUAUUAUUGAAUGAAUGAAUCCUAUUAUAACUUGGUUUUUUUCCUUUUUGUGGCUGAGUUGAUGGUUAUUGUAACUUGAAAAUGCUUAUAUGUAUUUUUAUCUUGAUCAAUGGAGUAGGGGUUGAAAAUGCGUAUAUGUAGUUGGUUGUUGUAAUUUGGUUCUUUGAACUUUGUAUUAUUGAAUGAAUGAAUCCUAUUAUAACUUGGUUUGUUUCCUUUUUGUGGCUGAGUUGAUGGUUGUUGUAACUUGGUUCUUUGAACUUUGUAUUAUUGAAUGAAUGAAUCCUAUUAUAAUUUGGUUUGUUUCCUUUUUGUGGCUGAGUUGAUGGAUGGCAAUAUUUUGUGUAAAUUAGAAGUUAGUUCUAAGGCUAUUGAAAAUUGGGAUUGAUUGAGGUGCA